AUGCAGAAGGUACCAGCUUGCUUGGAACCUAGUACGUCUAUCGCUCAUUCUUCUAUCAUUCAUGAUCAAGCUACUCGCGACGAAUCUCAAGUGCGUGUGAUCUCAAGAAGGCCAUCAAAGAAGUUGGUAGCCAAUAGUUUGCUGCUUCUAGGGGGUGCAAUAUGUUUAUCUCGUGGUCACUCUAGCCUAGGUGCUAAAGUUGCAAUGGCAUACAUCGUCACCAAAUUUAGUAAACGUUAUACAAAUCCAAACCAAACAAAACAAAGUUGA
Vicia faba (fava bean) is the source of this 270-nucleotide non-coding RNA. NCBI's taxonomy places the organism in Eukaryota, Viridiplantae, Streptophyta, Magnoliopsida, Fabales, Fabaceae. The record is from the annotation of a GenBank genome assembly.